GUCGAGCGGCAGGCAGUCCUUCGGGGCUGCCGAGAGCGGCGAACGGCGGAGUAACACGUGGGUAACCUGCCCCGAAGACCGGGACAACCCUGGGAAACUGGGGCUAAUACCGGAUGUGGAUACGCUGGCUUCGGCUGGCGUAUCUAAAGGGAGCAAUCCGCUUCGGGAUGGGCCCGCGGCCUAUCAGGUAGUUGGUGAGGUAACGGCUCACCAAGCCUGCGACGGGUAGCCGGUCUGAGAGGAUGGCCGGCCCGAGGGGCACUGAGACACGGGCCCCACUCCUACGGGAGGCAGCAGUCGGGAAUCUUGGGCAAUGGGCGAAAGCCUGACCCAGCGACGCCGCGUGGAGGACGAAGCCCUUCGGGGUGUAAACUCCUUU
This 379-nucleotide ribosomal RNA is filed under the name uncultured Armatimonadota bacterium. RNAcentral describes it as "bacterial SSU rRNA". It matches the Rfam family "Bacterial small subunit ribosomal RNA", at positions 61 to 436 of the family's 1533-position model. The record is from RNAcentral. Lineage: Bacteria; Bacillati; Armatimonadota.